GGGCACGUAACUCAGUUGGUAGAGUGCCACCUUCACACGGUGGAAGUCACAGGUUCAAGUCCUGUCGCGCCCA
Molecule: transfer RNA, 73 nt
Filed under: Enhygromyxa salina
Lineage: Bacteria; Pseudomonadati; Myxococcota; Nannocystales; Nannocystaceae
Description: tRNA-Val
Rfam family: tRNA
About the family: Transfer RNA (tRNA) molecules are approximately 80 nucleotides in length. Their secondary structure includes four short double-helical elements and three loops (D, anti-codon, and T loops).
Source: RNAcentral